This 264-nucleotide long non-coding RNA is filed under the name Lupinus angustifolius (narrow-leaved blue lupine). RNAcentral describes it as "long non-coding RNA (LANG_LNC002486)". Lineage: Eukaryota; Viridiplantae; Streptophyta; Magnoliopsida; Fabales; Fabaceae. The record is from RNAcentral.
UUGAUAAUUUCAACAUACUAUAACACAUUACUAUUUUAUAAGUAUUUUUGAGAUAAUAACUAAUACGACUCUAUUUUUUAGAAUCAAGAUAUACAAAAUUGGUGUGUAAAAAACUAAAUCGUUUCACCGUUGACCCAAGGCCAAUAUGUGUUUGUCUGUUAGCCAAGUUAUCAAAAUCAACUCUCUAGCUCUCAUGCUCUUUCACGUCCUUUUCAGGUUCUUUCUAUUCAUACAUGGAAUUUGUAAUUUUGUGCUCAUAUUUCU